This 253-nucleotide ribosomal RNA is filed under the name uncultured bacterium. Its description in RNAcentral is "partial 16S ribosomal RNA". It matches the Rfam family "Bacterial small subunit ribosomal RNA", at positions 524 to 776 of the family's 1533-position model. The record is from RNAcentral.
UACGAAGGGGGCUAGCGUUGUUCGGAAUUACUGGGCGUAAAGCGCGCGCAGGCGGUCCUUUAAGUCGGGGGUGAAAGCCCAGAGCUCAACUCUGGAACUGCCUUCGAAACUAGAGGACUUGGGUACGGGAGAGGUGAGUGGAAUUCCGAGUGUAGAGGUGAAAUUCGUAGAUAUUCGGAAGAACACCAGUGGCGAAGGCGGCUCACUGGCCCGUUACCCGAGCUCAGGCGCGACAGCGUGGGGAGCAAACAGG